GAUCUCACUGGCUCAGGAAUGAAGCUGCAGACCCUCGCGGUGAGUGUUACAGUUCUUAAGGCGGCGUAUCCGGAGUUGUUCGUUCCUCCCCGUGGGUUUGUGGUCUCGCUGGCUUCAAAAGUGAAGCUGUAGACCUUUACAGCGAGUAUCACAGCUCACAAAAGCAAUGUGGAACCAAACAGCAAAAAAAAAAAAAAAAAAAAAAAAAAAAAAAAAAAAAAACACCACCACACACACACACCCCAUGCAGAAAGGAACCCCAGUACAUUACCACUGCAGAGCCGGGCAGCCUGCUUUUAUUCUCUUAUCUGGCCCUACCCACAUCCUGCUGAUUGGUCCAUUUUACAGAGAGCUGAUUGGUCUGUUUCACAGAGAGCUGAUUGGUCCGUUUUGACAGGGUGCUCAUUGGUGCUUUUACAAUCCCUGAUCUAGACCCAAAAGUUCUCCACGUCCCUACUAGAUUAGCUAGAUACAGAGUGCUGAUUGGUGUAUUUACAAACCCUGAGCUAGACACAGAUUGCUAAUUGGUGCAUUUACAAACCUUGAGCUAGAUACAGAGUGCCUAUUGGUGUAUUCACAAUCCCUUAGCUAGACAUAAAGGUUCUCCAAGUCCCCACCAGAUUAGCUAGAUACAGAGUGCCGAUUAGUGCAUCCACAAACCCUGAGCUAGACACAGGGUACUGAUUGGUGUGUUUAUAAUCCCUUAGCUAGACAUAAAGGUUCUCCAAGUCCCCACUAGA
Molecule: long non-coding RNA, 740 nt
Filed under: Homo sapiens (human)
Lineage: Eukaryota; Metazoa; Chordata; Mammalia; Primates; Hominidae
Description: HSALNT0266282
Source: RNAcentral